ACCUUAGUCAUCAAAAUACCAGAGACAGCAACGGAUUUUCUUAAAUCUUAAUUAUGUUGCCGAGGCAUUAUUGAUAUAUAGAACAACUAUAUGUUUUUAUAUUAUUAA
Molecule: non-coding RNA, 108 nt
Organism: Glossina fuscipes fuscipes
Lineage: Eukaryota; Metazoa; Arthropoda; Insecta; Diptera; Glossinidae
Source: Rfam